CUUUAUGUGUGUGUAGGUUAUAUUUCGACGUUUGGUCUUGAACCGUUGACGUAGAAGAAUGUUAAACUUGAAUUUGUCAAAAGUUAUACAACGCAAGAGGGUAGGCGAAAUACAUGAGUAACAGCGUAGCAGCUGCAUUCAUUUUUUUUGUUAAUUUUCCCUAAAAAGUUGAUCAGUCUACUAAUAGCUUACAAAGACUAGUAUUUUAGUAGUAAAAAACAGGCGGCACAGAAAAGAAGGGAC
Molecule: long non-coding RNA, 243 nt
Filed under: Solanum tuberosum (potato)
Lineage: Eukaryota; Viridiplantae; Streptophyta; Magnoliopsida; Solanales; Solanaceae
Description: long non-coding RNA (STUB_LNC003309)
Source: RNAcentral